This 292-nucleotide ribosomal RNA is filed under the name uncultured bacterium. RNAcentral describes it as "partial 16S ribosomal RNA". The record is from RNAcentral.
GGACUACAGGGGUUUCUAAUCCUGUUCGCUCCCCACGCUUUCGCUCCUCAGCGUCAGUACAGGCCCAGAGAACCGCCUUCGCCACCGGUGUUCCUCCCGAUAUCUGCGCAUUUCACCGCUACACCGGGAAUUCCGUUCUCCCCUACCUGCCUCUAGUCUGCCCGUAUCGAAUGCAGACCCGGAGUUAAGCCCCGGGCUUUCACACUCGACGCGACAAACCGCCUACGAGCUCUUUACGCCCAAUAAUUCCGGACAACGCUUGCGCCCUACGUAUUACCGCGGCUGCUGGCAC